RNAcentral lists this long non-coding RNA (1001 nucleotides) under Mytilus galloprovincialis (Mediterranean mussel). Lineage: Eukaryota; Metazoa; Mollusca; Bivalvia; Mytilida; Mytilidae. The record is from RNAcentral.
GUUGGUUUAUUGUAUAUAAAAAUUUGUAAGGGUUCUGCGGAACCAAGUGUCUGGCCUACUUUAAGAAUCUAAUAAUUGUUUUAAAAGUUUAUUUAUCAGUAAAAUACAGAAUAACAGGAAAUAAAUUUUACAAAACUAAUACUUCUGGAUAUGUCUCGCUUUUGAAACAAGUCACAGGCUCGACAAAAAUGGAUCAGAUUAAAAUAUUUGUUUUAAAAAAGAUGAUACUACAUGAUGGGGAUGAAGAAUAUCUUUAUUAUAAGAUGAAAAAUAGAUAACAUAAAGCUUACUGUAAAAUGAUUAAGUUCCAAAGACAAAGCCUAGAAAAAGUGAGAAAAAAAUCCUUUCACAAAUCAUUUAAACAUGAGCACACCUUCACCAUAUGUGCAAUGUUGCUGUGAAGUUUAUGUAAUCUGCGUUGAAGACUGAAGGAGAUGUUUACAUAAAACAUUUAACCAUAAAAACGAAUAAACUCAAACCUGAUUUCUAAAGACAAUAUUUUUCAGCUUGUGAUAAAAAAAAAUGAUGUAAAGAUUUGGCACAACACCCUCAACACACAUAGUGUUAGGUCUUUACAUAAAAUACAGUCCAGUGUUGCUUAUCACUGCAUGUGUAACACACUUCACAUGUAUACAAAAGUACUGCACAUCACAAUAUCACACAAUAAUACACAAUAAUACACAAUAAUACACAAUAUCACACAAUAAUAGUUAUAUACUGUAAUUACAGAAAUUAUUCAAUAUUGCAAAUCUUUUAUUAUUAUGAAUAGUUCAACUGUCAACGUAUAUUUGUUCCACCUAACAGAAGUUCCGCUAGAAACUUUGUUAUAAACAAUGUCAUAAUACCUUUUCCAGUUGGAACAAAUAUUCUAUACCAUUUAUUCCGUUAGGAACAUAUACUGUAAUAUUUAUUCCUGUGGAAAUAAUAUUCCAGAAUAUUUCUUCCUUUUGGAACUUAUAUUAUGAAGGAAUUUCUAUUCUGUGACACCACUCUGUGAGUAC